GAAGGACUUGCUCAGUUGCAUACGCUGCCAACAUUUCAGGUGAAAUUCAAGAUUAUGGGAGUUGCUCUAUCUGGUCUUCAAAUUGAUAAGCUGGACGUGAAAAACACACCAAGCGCUCCAUACAAAGGUUUUAGAGCCCAGAGUCAAGCUGGAAAGUAUGAGGUCAGAUCGUAGGUGCUUUCAGAGGACAUCUGUUAAUUUUUGCUCUUAAAGCAAACGAAUACGGACCUGGUGCAUGGGCUGUCAACGCAUCAUGAUUAUCAUUUGAUGAUCCAGAGCCAGCUUGAUUUGCGUCACCUUAUCCUGUUC
This 309-nucleotide long non-coding RNA is filed under the name Setaria italica (foxtail millet). RNAcentral's name for it is "long non-coding RNA (SITA_LNC002187)". The record is from RNAcentral. Lineage: Eukaryota; Viridiplantae; Streptophyta; Magnoliopsida; Poales; Poaceae.